This 73-nucleotide transfer RNA is filed under the name Salmo salar (Atlantic salmon). It matches the Rfam family "tRNA". Rfam says of the family: Transfer RNA (tRNA) molecules are approximately 80 nucleotides in length. The record is from Rfam by way of RNAcentral. Lineage: Eukaryota; Metazoa; Chordata; Actinopteri; Salmoniformes; Salmonidae.
UUCCCUGUGGUUCAGUUGGUAGAGCAUGGUGUUUGCAACGCCAGGGUUGUGGGUUCGAUUCCCACAGGGGACC